Molecule: ribosomal RNA, 858 nt
Filed under: Triticum aestivum (bread wheat)
Lineage: Eukaryota; Viridiplantae; Streptophyta; Magnoliopsida; Poales; Poaceae
Description: partial small subunit ribosomal RNA
Source: RNAcentral
AUGCUUAAAAUAGAUCUUGCAAAGGCUUUUGAUCGUUUGGAGUGGAACUUCAUAGUUUCUGCCUUGACACGAAAAGGGCUGCAUGGUCAUUUCAUUAAUUUGGUUCAUGCCUGUAUCUCGUCACCUACUUUCUUUGUGCUUAUUAAUGGCCAACCCUCUCAAAAAUUUAAGAGCUCCAGAGGUAUUAGACAAUGCUGCCCCAUGUCGCCUUAUUUAUUUGUUUUGGCCAUUAAUGAGCUCUCCAUUAUGAUGAAUGAAGCUUUGAGAGCCAAUCAUUUACAAGGUAUUUCACUUGGACUAAAUUGCCCUUCUAUGCAUUCUUUGCUGUUUGGAAAUGAUCUCCUUGUGUGUGGGCAUGCCACUUGUCAGGAAGCUCAGGCUAUGGCGAACCUCAUUCAUCAUUUCUGUACUAUCUCUGGUCAAACACCUAACUGGAACAAAUCUGCUAUACUUUUCAGUUCCCAUGUUCCCCAACAUGUUAUGGAUGACAUUAAAAUCAUCUUUCCAGGGGCUAGUCUUGAUGAUAGCUUCACUCACCUUGGUCAUCCUCUCAUUCUUCCUGCUAAUAAUAGAGCAGCUGCUUACAAUUUUGUCUUGGACACAUUUUUAAAUAAGUUUCCCUCUUAUAAAGCUAAUAUGCUCUCUCAUGCAGCUAGACUAGAUUUAAUUUGCUUUGUCUUUUUGGCUAUUCCUAUUUAUUAUAUGUCCUAUAUUCUAUUCUCUAAAAAAUUCAUUGCAAAACUUACUGCAGUAAUCAAGAACUUCUGGUGGACAGGUAUUAGAGAAACAGAUUCGAGGAAAAGCCUUUUCUUCAAGCUUGGAAGGACAUUUCCAAUUCCAAAACAGAAGGAGGGUUAG